GUUUCUUUUUGUCUCUAUCUCUUUUUCCCCCUCUCUCCCUCUGUUCAGCAGUCCAUCCAUCUGUCUGUCUAUUGUAUUUAAAGAUAAUGAUCCUGAUAUUGUUCAGUUCAAUGGGAGUCAGUAUGAGUCAGAGGACCUGGAUUCCAAUCCUCUUAUCCAUAGUGCCUAUGGUUUUAGGCAUCUAUUUAUUGUGAGAGCCAAAUAAAUAACUCAACCUAUGCCACCACGCCCAACUUCCCAGGCAAUACCUAUUGUGCUUUGCAGUUUGGGUCUGGCCAGCACAACUUCAGACUUGCGCCUGCUUGGAGAUCUGGUAGAUAUAUCUGUUGGACUCGGUCAGAGCAACAGAGCUGCAGGCUGAUAUCCUGGUUACUCACGCCUGAGCCUGGGAUCACAGAGGAUUAACUGCUGUAUGAUCCAAGAAUUGACAUUAUAUUCCACCCUGGAGAAGAGGGUUGACAAUCAAGAAGUCACAUGGUAGCCGCAACAGUAUGAUAGUCCUGGAAUCUAAAAACAAUACUAGUUAUCAAAUCCCAAAAUUGGUAUCAUCAGAACUAGCUACAUUUUACCAGGGGUUUUUGUUUUUGCUUCUUUGGAAAAUAGAGGACAAUCAAGUUCUAGACUCAUGGACGUUGAUAAAACUGGUGCCCAGUUUAAAAGGAAUCUUGAUUUCCUGAGGUUUCGUGUCAAUUAUCAUCCAGCUCCCCUUCACUCUUUCUACUUCGUUAGGUUUAAGUAAUUCUGAACCUCAUAGAAAGUAUUUUCCUAUAAAUUAUGAUGGCACCAAAGUAUUUGCUUCAUUGAAUUAGGAAAAGACAUAAUGGAGCUUGGGCUCCUGGCAUGUACUCCAUCUAAAAUGCCUUCCAUCUGGUUUACUCAGUAUAUGUAGGAAAUAAAAAGAACAUGUCAGUGAUACAUGUAUAUUUGGUUUUGCAUACAACCUUUUUCGUUGUUGUUAUUAGCUUUCCCUUGGCAUUCUUCCAAGAUAUCUUACAAGUUAUCAAUCUUGCCAGGACAGGCAGUGUUGUCUGACCACUUCCUCUUUGCAAUUAAAGACUGUAACCACUCGCUUACGCACAGACUGAGACCAUCAUCCCUAACCCCAAAGGAGGCCAGAAACUCCCAGCAAUUCCCACUGAAGGAGGAGGACCAAGCUGAAAACAACACACUGUGUAUUUUAAGGUUGAAACUCAAGCUGCGACUGAAAGGGCUGGGAGCACCCAUCUACACCUUGCUUUUCUUCAUCCUGUCAUUUCCUUGGGUUUUAAUAGCUACGGAGCAAACAGUAUAAUUGCAGCAUGUUUAUAAAUACUUUAUCUAUAUGUUGAUUUUUUUAUGGGGCCAUAUUUCUAAUAUUUAUUAUCAAAUCACUAGCUUGAACUGGAGCAAAAAGACAACUCCUUUACCCAACCUCCCUCCCCACCGCCUUAAAAAACCUCAAAGAAAACCAACAUCAACAGCAACCUGGCUUUAUUUGCAGGGAGCCCAACAAAUAACCUGGCCUGGUGUUGGUUGCCAUGAAGGUAUAUGUUUCCGGUCUUGUUCCUAGAGUUGGUUAGCUGCUCCACAAAUAAAACUUGCCCUAGAUGCACAGUGGGCAGGUUUUGUUCACAUAGGAAAACUGCCAGUUUGGUGACACAGAUAAAAGCCAGGUCACUGUUGGUGUGGUGAGGUUUUUUUUGUUUUUUUGUUUUAGUUUGCCUUUUAUUGUCACAGAAUCUUAGAAUAUUAAAAAUAAGAAAGAACGCUGGGAAAUCAUGGAGGUCAACCUUCCCUUUUGUCAUCUCUCUGUGCACUACUGUGUUAUCCCUUUCUAGGUUGGGAGUGUGAGUUAAAUCUCCUAGAUUACUGCAUCUUUCCUUCUUUCUUGGAGGUUUAAACAAAAAAUAGGGAAGUAGGACAAACAUAUAGUAAUGCCUAUUGCGGGUAUGAGAGGGCUGAGGAGCUGGGGUUGAUUUCAGUUGGAGAUAGGAAGGUCAAGCUAUACUGCUUCAGGAGCAUCCAACCAAGCAGGAAGGCACACACACACACACACACACACACACACA
Phascolarctos cinereus (koala) is the source of this 2048-nucleotide long non-coding RNA. RefSeq lists it as uncharacterized. The record is from RefSeq and is a predicted model, not a curated record. NCBI's taxonomy places the organism in Eukaryota, Metazoa, Chordata, Mammalia, Diprotodontia, Phascolarctidae.